This 482-nucleotide ribosomal RNA is filed under the name uncultured bacterium. RNAcentral's name for it is "bacterial SSU rRNA". It matches the Rfam family "Bacterial small subunit ribosomal RNA", at positions 30 to 506 of the family's 1533-position model. The record is from RNAcentral.
UUGAACGCUGGCGGCAGGCCUAACACAUGCAAGUCGAGCGGAUGAAGGGAGCUUGCUCUCUGAUUCAGCGGCGGACGGGUGAGUAAUGCCUAGGAAUCUGCCUGGUAGUGGGGGACAACGUCUCGAAAGGGACGCUAAUACCGCAUACGUCCUACGGGAGAAAGCAGGGGACCUUCGGGCCUUGCGCUAUCAGAUGAGCCUAGGUCGGAUUAGCUAGUUGGUGAGGUAAUGGCUCACCAAGGCGACGAUCCGUAACUGGUCUGAGAGGAUGAUCAGUCACACUGGAACUGAGACACGGUCCAGACUCCUACGGGAGGCAGCAGUGGGGAAUAUUGGACAAUGGGCGAAAGCCUGAUCCAGCCAUGCCGCGUGUGUGAAGAAGGUCUUCGGAUUGUAAAGCACUUUAAGUUGGGAGGAAGGGUUGUAGAUUAAUACUCUGCAAUUUUGACGUUACCGACAGAAUAAGCACCGGCUAACUCUGU